This 1641-nucleotide long non-coding RNA is filed under the name Populus trichocarpa (black cottonwood). RNAcentral describes it as "long non-coding RNA (PTRI_LNC000520)". The record is from RNAcentral. Lineage: Eukaryota; Viridiplantae; Streptophyta; Magnoliopsida; Malpighiales; Salicaceae.
GGUAAUUAAAACAAAGACAAUAAUCCAUAAUACUCAUUACAUUGUCAAAAUCCAAACUUAAUUAAAACAAGGUAACAGUGGAGCGCCUAAGACAUUGAAUCAAACAGCCUUGAAAGAUAAGCAAGGCAUACCGACUCAAAACUGAAGAAGCAGGAACACUCAACAAAGUUCACCUGUUAUCAGAAACUAAGAACCUGAAAUAAUAUUAAGAAUGAGGGGUGAGUUCAACCAACUCAGUGAGGGAAUAAUAAUUAAUAUACAUUUUAGAUAUUCUUGAUAUUAAUAGUUCGCAAGAUCCUUUAUCUUGAUAUACAUAUACAUAUACAUACUGAACAUAUCAUAUACAUAUUAAACAUAUCAUUAUAACGUAGUGGAGUACAUGUCAGAGAUCAGAUGACACCCGAAGGUGACCAGAUGACACACAAAGGUGACCAUUGUGGGAUGAUCAGUCGCCACAGGCUGAUGCCUCUCUCACCAGCUAGGUAUACAGAAUACUAUGUGCACAUAAGCUAACUACUCUCCGUUAGCAUGGAGUUACUGACAAGUCCCAUAUCAAGGCAUAAUAGAUAUUUACAGAAUCAUCAGAAAAACAUAUAUCAUAUCAAAUAGAAUCUAGUUCGACAGAUUGCGAGUGCAAAUUCAAGAAUAAAUGAGUACUCGGAAAAUAAGCAACAUAUAUAAAUAUUCAAGAAAUUAACGAGUUGUACUCAUUGUAUAAUCAACAUACAUAUUUACUUAUCAUAUAUGCAUAUUAAAGAUUAUCCCACUCACCCGGAAAAUAUAGAACUAAAAGGAAUGUCAGACGAAAGACCCAAAAAUCCUAUUGAGGAUCGUUAGGAGAACCUACAACAAUAUGAAAAUAUACUCAAAAGCAACUCAAACAAGAGAUCCCAAUGCAUAAAAUAAAACCAGGUUUAGUCUCCUAAGUUUAUGGACUAAAACGACAAUUUUUCAAAACAGGGACCAAAACGUAAUUUUACCAAAAUUGCACCAAUCUAGAAAAUACAUAACUAUACUGAAUUUUCACCCAUAAACCAUCCUUAAUUCUGUCUAGAACGAACCAGGGACAGAACUGUAAUUUUCAUAAAGUUCAGGGACUAAAAUGUAAAUUCCCAAAAUUGAGGGACCAAACUGAAAAUAUUCCAAAUCAAUUAUCAAACUCAGAUUCAUCAUCCUUAACCUCAUAAUAACACUGUCCAGAAUCUCAAAAUACAAUUAGAGGUCAAAUUAUAAUUUUCCUAAAGUUUAGGGACUAAACUGUAAUUUCACAAAUUGAGGGACCAAAUUGAAUUUUUGUCAUCUUCAACCUCAAACCCAGAAUUUUACAGAUUACCUACUGUCAUCUCCUGAUUUCUAACACAAUUUCACCAUUCAAAUAAAAUCAUAACUCAAAAUCAUCAUCUUUACCUCCAAUCUUUCACAAUCAACUAAUUAACCAAUUACCCACAACAAUCAACCCAUAACAUUCCAAUUAAUUCAUCAAUCAAACUCAAAACACAAUAUUCAAAACCCUAACAUUUAUCAAAACAGAACUGAACUUAAAGCUUAAAGAACACACAUUUAUACGUAAUCUUACCUUUAAACUUAUUUCCUCCAAUUCUCUUCUCAUUUCCUUAUCUUUCCCUCUUUUCUCUUCUUCUU